Molecule: long non-coding RNA, 1903 nt
Organism: Perca flavescens (yellow perch)
Lineage: Eukaryota; Metazoa; Chordata; Actinopteri; Perciformes; Percidae
Exons: 2
Source: RefSeq, a predicted model, not a curated record
GUUCCCCUUUGCCACCGAGGACAGUAGGCAUGGUUCCUGGAGAUGGUCAGUGCUCUCCUCCGGUGUCCAUGCCAGGGAGGACUCGCGUUAAGAGCAGCGGAUGCCCCUGCGUGACGCUGGCAGACCGGGCUCUUCACUGCCGGAAAGUGUCUGUGUCACUGGGGGAGACAGAGGGCGAUGUAGGCGGGCCGGUAACGUCAGAGAUGACACACACGCAGCUCACGCAGGGACAUCACGACUCAAGCACCCCGGUGGAUGUUCAUCAUGUGCUUUUCAAAGGCGUAUUAGGAUGUCAGAGCUGCUAAAUACACCGGCGUUGGGACACUCUGUAAUGUAGUAAGAUUUAUGACAUAAAUGUCUCAUUUACAGGGGCGGUGCUAAGAAUUAAGUGGCCCUUAAACCGAGAUUAAUUGAUGUUUUGGCCACAUGGGGGCAUCUCAACAAGUGUGUCAAUAUAAUAGAUGACGGUGUGGUGUAAACAUAACCUUAGGCAAGAUAAUAUGGCUAACGUGUUAGCAGUUGCCUGACACAACUAUGAGCAACAUUUACAGACAUGAAGAGUCUGUUUAAUAUUCACUUCCUUCUUAGGUUUGCUCUUCAUCAACUCUUAAUAAGAAAAAUACUGCCCUGAAAAGUAGAACUUUUUAGCUGCUAGUGUAAAUGCUCCACUAUGUUAACUAGCUAGCAUAUUUGCUAACUUUGUCUGUCUGUCGUUUGCUGCUGGGCUGGUAACCUGUACAAUCUGUUGUUAAGAGCUUUUUGCUGAAAUGAUAUGGAAAGGAGCAAUGACUUGCAUCUUUAUAUAUAUUUUAAAAUCUUUAUGGUGAUUUAUCUAAAACUUAGGCUAUGAAUCAGUAUAAUAUGUAUGGAUACUACUAACAUUACAGAGGCAAGAGAACAUUUAAAUGGAAAGUGAGCAAAUAUACUUUAUGGUAUUGUAUCCAAAUGUAAAUAUGUAACAAACAUACAUAUGUAAAUAUGUAAUAUAAACAUAAACAUAAACAUACAUACGUGAAUGGUAAGAUUUGAGCCAAGUCCAACACCGUGUAUGCCUUGUUACAAAUAUAUUUUGUUCACAACAAGGUGAAGUCUAGCCUAGCUAGAUGUUAUGUCACAGUAACCCAACCUGAUAGAUAUUUAUUAUUAUUUAGCAUAUUUAUCAUACCCCAUUUAUGUCAGUGGUUACUAAUAAAAUCCAGGAACAGUUUAACAAAACCCCCAUUAAGAUUUGCUUUCCUAAACAAGCAUGUAAGUGGACCUUGUUUUUUUUGUCUUGUUUUCAAGGUCAAGAAUGAACUUUUAAGUCAACGUGAAUGAGAAGUCCUAGAGAUCUGUGUAAUGUCCAAGGCAACUGAGCAAAUUCAAUCUGCUUAUGAGGUCUGCAUGAUAUGGCCAAAAGUGGACAUUGACUUGGCCUUGUGUGCUUGUCGAGUCCAUCUAUUUUUCUGCUUAAUGCAUUCUGGCCUGUGAAGUGGCUCUGGAUUGCAUGGAUUUUGCCUUGUCAUGAUAAAAUAUGAGCUGUCUCCCUGGCUCAGAUGGCUCUGGGGGAAGGCUGGGAGAAGAUGGAAAGACGGACACACAGAGCUUAAUAUAUUUGCAUUGACUUCAUUGAUUUAAGGAAUCAUAUUUGACACAUUGUUCCAUAUAACCACAUAUCCUCCUCUGAAACAGAAGCAGAAAUUUGGUUUGGGCUGCACACCCCUGAAACCACAGUGUCCCUUAUUUGUUUGAGGCACCUGUCAAAGACUGACCUCAGCCACAGUGUAUAUAGCUGGUAGUCCAGAUAUAGAAACUCAUUUAAACUGCAGAGUGUUGAAGAGACAAAAAACACUAGUUAAGGAGACGAAAAGGAUACAUACUGUGUACUGUGCCUAAUAAAUGAGCGACUUUGUGACGUCCAUUA